CUAUUUUCCUUAGUAACUCAGGUCUUGCCCUUUAAUUUUUAUGAAUAGGGUUAUUGAAUAGAAAGCAAACAUAUCUGGGCUUUGCACAACAAAUGCAAAGGUGUGGCUGUUGCUCCCCUGUUUUCCAGUCUGAGGCCAAAUCCUGACAACUUCACAUAUAGACAUGGCUUUAUCUAUGCUGAAGCUCUCUGAGUGAAAUAGGCUCUCAUGACAGACUAGGAUGGCACACGUGUAUUGUGGUUGAUAAGGUAGGGACCAAAUACUUGAUGUGUGUGAUAGAUUGGCACAAUGUUACAGGGUAAAAGGAGAAGAAGAGAAAAUGUGGGGGCAUAUCUUUGAAAGCAUUUUCCUAUUGCAGAAGACCCCAGUACAAAGGCUUAUUCCCUCUCCCCCUACAGUUCCCAGCCAGGUACCUGGGCGCGUCUUAGCACCCCAGAUUUUUGUGCGUUGAGUACAACUGCCUUGCUGUGACACCACGGCAGGCUGUCUCUCAUCAGCCCCUGCUGUGAUACUCCUAACGCUUUCACUCCAGGGAGUGCUUCCCUGCUUGAUGCUGCUAGCAGAUUAAAGCUGUUCUAAUUUCCCAUCCUAAGCCAAAUAGAUGCAUAAGCAAGCUGUUGGAUUGUUUCACUACGAGUGCCAUACACCAUCAGCCUGCUUCCCGCUCCCCCCACCUCAGCACUCAUAAUGGUGGACAUCUGCAAGUAGAAUGUGGGGUGGAGGCCAGAGGACAUGGUUUUCUCCCUCUGCAUGCUGCAAUGCAGUGAACACGAGCCCAUGCUAAAUCCCAAAUGCCUGGCUACUUUCUGCAGAGCAUGAAUGGCCUUUCAAACCACCACUGGUCCCCAGCUCCCCAUCCAUGCUGUCUGUCCAAGAAGACUCUUUUAUGCCAAAACUACAGGCUCAACCCUUCCUUGGAAGGCAAAUGUUUUUACUGCACAGGUGUCCACUACAAGCUGUAUACAGUGUUUUCUACCCAAAGUUGUCUCAUAUACACCCAAUUCUGAAGGCAAAGGAAAUCCAUCAAAUCAAAUCCAAGAU
This 1041-nucleotide long non-coding RNA is filed under the name Cyanistes caeruleus (blue tit). Its description in RNAcentral is "lncRNA (ENSCCEG00000012784.1)". Lineage: Eukaryota; Metazoa; Chordata; Aves; Passeriformes; Paridae. The record is from RNAcentral.